RNAcentral lists this ribosomal RNA (402 nucleotides) under uncultured bacterium. RNAcentral's name for it is "bacterial SSU rRNA". It matches the Rfam family "Bacterial small subunit ribosomal RNA", at positions 975 to 1375 of the family's 1533-position model. The record is from RNAcentral.
CAGGACUUGACAUCCCUCUGACCGGAGAGUAAUGACUCCUUCUCCUUCGGGGACAGAGGAGACAGGUGGUGCAUGGUUGUCGUCAGCUCGUGUCGUGAGAUGUUGGGUUAAGUCCCGCAACGAGCGCAACCCUUGUCAUUAGUUGCCAGCAAGUAAAGUUGGGCACUCUAAAGAGACUGCCGGGGAAAACUCGGAGGAAGGUGGGGAUGACGUCAAAUCAUCAUGCCCCUUAUGUUCUGGGCUACACACGUGCUACAAUGGCUGGUACAACGGGAAGCGAAGGAGCAAUCCGGAGCAAAUCCUAAAAGCCAGUCUCAGUUCGGAUUGUGGGCUGCAACUCGCCCACAUGAAGUCGGAGUUGCUAGUAAUCGUGGAUCAGAAUGCCGCGGUGAAUGCGUUCCC